This 260-nucleotide unclassified non-coding RNA is filed under the name uncultured fungus. RNAcentral describes it as "partial contains 5.8S ribosomal RNA, internal transcribed spacer 2, and large subunit ribosomal RNA". The stretch from base 1 to 52 matches the Rfam family "5.8S ribosomal RNA", at positions 103 to 154 of the family's 154-position model. The record is from RNAcentral. Lineage: Eukaryota; Fungi.
AACGCACAUUGCGCCCGCCAGUAUUCUGGCGGGCAUGCCUGUUCGAGCGUCAUUUCAACCCUUAAGCCUCGUCGCUUAGCGUUGGGAGACUGCGGGCCCUCGCGGCGCGCAGCUCCUCAAAUACAGUGGCGGAGUCGGUUCGCACUCUAGGCGUAGUAGUUUACUCCUCGCCUCUGAAGGUGUGCCGGCCCCUGCCGUAAAACCCCCCUAAUAUUCUAGUGGUUGACCUCGGAUCAGGUAGGAAUACCCGCUGAACUUAA